GGCCCCAUCGUCUAGUGGUUUAGGACAUAAGGUUUUCAGCCUUAGAACCACGGUUCGAAUCCGUGUGGGGUCA
RNAcentral lists this transfer RNA (73 nucleotides) under Candidatus Shapirobacteria bacterium CG10_big_fil_rev_8_21_14_0_10_40_9. RNAcentral describes it as "tRNA-Glu". It matches the Rfam family "tRNA". Rfam says of the family: Transfer RNA (tRNA) molecules are approximately 80 nucleotides in length. Their secondary structure includes four short double-helical elements and three loops (D, anti-codon, and T loops). The record is from RNAcentral. Lineage: Bacteria; Candidatus Shapironibacteriota.